Molecule: ribosomal RNA, 462 nt
Filed under: Athripsodes aterrimus
Lineage: Eukaryota; Metazoa; Arthropoda; Insecta; Trichoptera; Leptoceridae
Description: partial 16S ribosomal RNA
Source: RNAcentral
UCUGCUCUCUGAUUGAAUUUAAGGGCCGCAGUUAAAUUGUGCAAAGGUAGCAUAAUCAAUAGUUUUUUAAUUGAAAACUUGUAUGAAUGAUUGAAUAAAAUAUAUAUUUUUUUAAAUAAAAUAAUGUAAUUUAAAUUUUUAGUGAAAAAGCUAAAAUAUAAAAAAAAGACGAAAAGACCCUAUAGAUUUUUAUUUUUAUUUUAUUUUAUUUCAAAUAAAAUAAGAAUUUGAUUGGGGUGAUAUAAAAAUUUAUGAAACUUUUUUUAUUAUAUUCAUGGAUAAAUGAAUUAAAUUUAACUUUAAAUUAAAAAUUUAGAUUAAAAUACCUUAGGGAUAACAGCGUAAUUUUAAUUUUAAUUAAAAUUAAAAUUAAAGAUUGCGACCUCGAUGUUGAAUUAAAAUAAAAUUUUAGAAAAAAGCUUUAAUKUYAGGUCUGYYCGACCUUUAUUUUUUACSUGAUCU